Molecule: non-coding RNA, 29 nt
Filed under: Homo sapiens (human)
Lineage: Eukaryota; Metazoa; Chordata; Mammalia; Primates; Hominidae
Source: RNAcentral
UUGAAUUGUUCAGGAUAGGGGAUGGAACC